This 69-nucleotide transfer RNA is filed under the name Rattus norvegicus (Norway rat). It matches the Rfam family "tRNA". Rfam says of the family: Transfer RNA (tRNA) molecules are approximately 80 nucleotides in length. Their secondary structure includes four short double-helical elements and three loops (D, anti-codon, and T loops). The record is from Rfam by way of RNAcentral. Lineage: Eukaryota; Metazoa; Chordata; Mammalia; Rodentia; Muridae.
GGGGAUUUAGCUCAGUGGUAGAGCACUUGCCUAGCAAGCACAAGGCCCUGGGUUCUGCCCCCAGCUCCG